RNAcentral lists this ribosomal RNA (374 nucleotides) under uncultured organism. RNAcentral describes it as "partial 16S ribosomal RNA". It matches the Rfam family "Bacterial small subunit ribosomal RNA", at positions 527 to 896 of the family's 1533-position model. The record is from RNAcentral.
GUACCGUACAAACGUUUAUUCGGAAUCACUGGGCUUAAAGGGUGCGUAGGCGGUGCGGUCAGUUGGGUGUGAAAUCCCUCGGCUCAACCGAGGAACUGCGCCCAAUACUGCCGCACUCGAGGGAGACAGAGGUAAGCGGAACUGAUGGUGGAGCGGUGAAAUGCGUUGAUAUCAUCAGGAACACCAGUAGCGAAGGCGGCUUACUGGGUCUCUUCUGACGCUGAGGCACGAAAGCUAGGGUAGCGAACGGGGGAUUAGAUACCCCGGUAGUCCUAGCUGUAAACGAUGAGCACUUGGUCGGAGACUCCUCCAUAGGUUUCCGGUCGUAGCGAAAGUGUUAAGUGCUCCGCCUGGGGAGUAUGGUCGCAAGGCUG